This is a long non-coding RNA of Rosa rugosa (rugosa rose), 1164 nucleotides long. RefSeq lists it as uncharacterized. The record is from RefSeq and is a predicted model, not a curated record. The transcript has 5 exons. NCBI's taxonomy places the organism in Eukaryota, Viridiplantae, Streptophyta, Magnoliopsida, Rosales, Rosaceae.
UCUCGGCCGCAUCUCUCUCUUUCUCCCCCGACCUCACUCUCUCUUCUCUCUCUACCAGCGCCGGAAACUCCAUCUCGGGCCACCCGCUCUUGUCACCACGACCACCAAUCGAUCCAGCAUCCAAAUCCGACCCAAGCCUGAACCUUAUCGUCGACAUGCAUCGCCGCCAGCCUCCGCGCGCGACAACCCAAGGCUGCGACACCACUGUUGCUCGACCUUCGUCGAUUUCCGACCAUCACCUCGCCACAACGACCCCACCGCCUGACUCAGCAAGCAACGAGGAGCAAAACCCAGAAGUUUCGCCACCCACCGAAGCCAGAAAACGACGUACGAGUUUCGCCUGAACCGGGGGCCUUGCAUGUCGUCGUUUUUCAAUUUCCAGCCAUGCCUGGGCUGCCCGACCACCAUGGAUGUAGUAAGUGCCUAAAUGUCUAGAAUAGCCCCUCACCUAGACCUCUGAUUUCGACCGGAGCCACCCAGCACCGCCGUGAGAGCCACCGGCUUACCUUUUUCGUCUGGUUUGUGGAAUCUGGAAAAUUGAAGCUUUGGAGAAGAAAUGAGCUACUGGGUCAGUUUCAAAUCGAAAUAAGGAAUUCAGAUGGUUAAUGGAUGUGGAUUUCUGCGUUUUUGGAGUUUUGGAAGAGAGGAGCUGCUGGGCCAGUUAAGUUGAUGUUGAGGAAUGGGAUCUGAAAGGUUGUUGGUGGUGGAACUGCAGCUACGACGAAACUGGUUUCUGUUUUGGAAAAGAAGAAUGGACUCGAGCGUGUGCACGUGAAAUUGGAAGAAGUAUUGAAAGUCAGAAAUGAAGCUAAUUGUGGACGAGCACUCCAUAUCCAGUGUGCAGGUUUCGAGCAUGCGGUCGAGGAGCGUACAGAGGAGGCACAAGGCCCGGCUUGGCGCAUUCUUCUUUAAUUUUAUCAAAAGAAGGUUUUGAUCCUUUAUUGGAUUUUGAAGUAGCUUGUUUAUUUACUUUUAUUUAUUUAUUUCCUACUCGUUUACCAAAACUUCGAGAGGCCCGUAACCCUGGGGCGCGUCUCUCGCACUUGUAGUUACUUAGUGAUUUGUUUUCCAAAUUGGGCUCCGAUUAUAAGCCCAAAUCCUUUAGCCCACUUUAAAUUCCGUUUUCGAAAAUAUGUUGUCCGGUUGCUAGAGUGAUUUGUCCAA